Molecule: ribosomal RNA, 253 nt
Filed under: uncultured bacterium
Lineage: Bacteria
Description: partial 16S ribosomal RNA
Rfam family: Bacterial small subunit ribosomal RNA
Source: RNAcentral
GACGGGGGAUGCAAGUGUUAUCCGGAAUCACUGGGCGUAAAGCGUCUGUAGGUGGUUAAGUAAGUCAACUGUUAAAUCUUGAGGCUUAACCUCAAAAUCGCAGUCGAAACUGUUUGACUAGAGUAUAGUAGGGGUAAAGGGAAUUUCCAGUGGAGCGGUGAAAUGCGUAGAUAUUGGAAAGAACACCGAUGGCGAAGGCACUUUACUGGGCUAUUACUAACACUGAGAGACGAAAGCUCGGGUAGCAAAUGGG